Molecule: ribosomal RNA, 497 nt
Filed under: uncultured bacterium
Lineage: Bacteria
Description: partial 16S ribosomal RNA
Rfam family: Bacterial small subunit ribosomal RNA
Source: RNAcentral
GAUGAACGCUGGCGGCGUGCCUAAUACAUGCAAGUCGAGCGAACAGACGAGGAGCUUGCUCCUUUGACGUUAGCGGCGGACGGGUGAGUAACACGUAGUUAACCUACCUAUAAGACUGGGAUAACUUCGGGAAACCGGAGCUAAUACCGGAUAAUAUUUCGAACCGCAUGGUUCGAUAGUGAAAGAUGGCUUUGCUAUCACUUAUAGAUGGACCUGCGCCGUAUUAGCUAGUUGGUAAGGUAACGGCUUACCAAGGCAACGAUACGUAGCCGACCUGAGAGGGUGAGUGGCCACACUGGAAGUGAGACCGGGUCCAGAGGCCUACGGGAGGGAGCAGUAGGGAAUCUUCCGGAAUGGGCGAAAGCCUGACGGAGCAACGCCGAGUGAGUGAUGAAGGUCUUCGGGUCGUAAAACUCUGUUAUUAGGUAGGAACCAACGUGUAAGUAACUGGGCACGUAUUGACGGUACCUAAUAAGAGAGCCACGGCUAACUACGUG